AUGAAAAGUUCACUAUUAAUUAUGCAGGGGACUGCAUGUGAUUAGAUUAAUUAUUGUUAGUUUUUCUGUAUAACUGGCAUUUCCCCGUGUUAUUUAACUGGUUUCUUUUUUAUUACAGCGUUUAUGCGUUCUACUGUUUUAUGUCAAGUUGAAGGUAUUUUCAUUGAGAAGUGAAAUGCAAUGAAAACAUUGGUAGAUAUGUAAAAAUGUAUUUCUGCGUAUACGAUAGAUUGUGCAUAUAUCAUUCACGAACAUUCCUACUAAGGUGAAAUUCUUUCAUUUAAAAUGGAUUGUAUGAGUUUUCAUACUGAUUUUAAAAAGUUAUCUCCCGUGUGUCUGUUAGUAAGCAUUCACGAAUUGUCUCACGGAUGUAGUUAUCGGAAGUCGCUCUUGUCAGGUAAUAUUACUAUACAAACUCUUGGCUUUUGUUUUCCUGAUCUGUUUUACACUUAUAUGCUGUAGUAUUGUUACGUGCCAAUUCAACAACUUAAUACCCAAUAGUAAGACCUAGACAUGUCAUUACUCUUCUGUUUCGCAAAAACGUCACCUUAAGAUAACAGGAUUUAAGACAGAAUAUUAAUGUGCUAUUCAUUUUGUCAACGUGCGUGGUAAUUAAGAAUACAGAUUUUGCCUCGAGUCAUAACAAAUCAUAAACAAGAAAAUUUAUUGACGCAAGCGUCAAAUUCGGCCGCAACUACGUGGUAACUAUAAACAUAAUGCAAAGUGAAAAAUUGAAGCAAUCUCAUAAAUACCAUAAAGAAUGUGAAAUUGAGAGUAGAGCAAACACGGACACUUGGAAAUAUCAGAGGUCAGGGGUCAGGUGCUUAAAAGUAAGCAUCCCAACUAAGCAAACCGUAUAGAAACCUUCACGUUUUUAUAUCCAAGCUUAUUUUUUCCUGUAUUAGUCCUUCACUAAUCCUGUGGAAAUCCGGAUUAGAAUAGGUCCUCAGUACCCCUUGCUUCUCGUAAGAGGCAAUUAUAUGGGGCGGUCCUUCGGAUGAGACCGUGUGGCACGAUAAAGACUCCUCCUUGCUCAAUGGCCAUAGGCCUAAAUUUUGCAGCCCUUCACCGGCAAUGGUGACAUCUCCAUAUCACUGUCAUGAUCGUGUGCAGGAUAGGACAAAACAAGAUGGCAGACGGCAUUUCCAAACAAAGAUCCAGUCAGGAGCGGACUUCCUUAAGCUUAAAAGUUGCAAGUGAAUGAAGUGUGUUCUAUUUUAUGUCUCCUACUAAAACCAUGGUUUUGACAAACCUAGAAGAGCACGUGGAGCAAGGAACUAUCAGUAAGCCGGAAGAGCCAGCUCAAAAAUCUUUAAGUGUUUGAGAAUUUCACCGCGCACAUGAGUCUAAAGUUCUGCACACGUUAGAAGGAGCCUUGUUCUCGGAGAUCAACAUGUUGAAAAGUCUUCAUUUUGCAGAAGCAAAUACAUUUAUAUUGUAUAUACACGUGUAGACCAUGUUCGAUUCCCAACCACUUAAAAUUUGUGAUAUCUGCACGGAAUUAUUAAAACUGAGCAUGGUUUGACGUAUAAUAAUCUCUUUAGGCACGAUGGUUUACAUUUCACAAAGCUGUUCAAUGACAAUAAAGACAAUAAGAUGUU
Molecule: long non-coding RNA, 1601 nt
Organism: Ostrea edulis (European flat oyster)
Lineage: Eukaryota; Metazoa; Mollusca; Bivalvia; Ostreida; Ostreidae
Exons: 2
Source: RefSeq, a predicted model, not a curated record